UACACAUGAUAAAACACUCUGCAUGUCUCUAACCUCCAAUGGUUUGAUGUGUGUUAUUUCCUGUCCCCUGCCAGUCCUGGUGUUCCGCCAGCCGACUAUCACCCCAAUCAGACUCCCGUCUGACAACUCGGUGCAGGCGCAGACGGUGACCCUCGCCUGCUACAUAUCAGGAUUCUACCCGCCCGACAUCUACGUGACGUGGAAAAGCGAGAGGGGGGUGCAGGAGCUGGGCUGGGUGACCAACUUCCCGGUGGUGGCGGACGCCAGCGGGUCCUACAGUACCGCCAGCCAGAUGACCAUCCCCAUGUCCGAUGUUGACCGCUCGCUCACCUACGUCUGCAUGGUGGCUCACGACUCCAUCUCCUUCCCCAUCGAGGAGUGGUUUCAGAUCAGCUGAAUGUCGCCCGGUCAGAGAUUCAUGUUGCCCGGAAUUCGCGCCGACCAGGACCUGUGCAACCGGAGUAACAUUAGUGUGUGCCAUUGGAAGUACCAAGGUGGCAUUUCGCCACUCCUGAUCUACAAACAAUAAACAUAUUUUCUCCUGUCC
Amblyraja radiata (thorny skate) is the source of this 547-nucleotide non-coding RNA. Lineage: Eukaryota; Metazoa; Chordata; Chondrichthyes; Rajiformes; Rajidae. The record is from the annotation of a RefSeq genome assembly.